UACGGAGGGUGCAAGCGUUAUCCGGAUUCACUGGGUUUAAAGGGUGUGUAGGCUGGUAUUUAAGUCAGUGGUGAAAUCUCCAGGCUCAACCUGGAAACUGCCAUUGAUACUAUUUAUCUUGAAUAUCGUUGAGGUUGGCGGAAUAUAUCAUGUAGCGGCGAAAUGCAUAGAUAUGAUAUAGAACACCGAUUGCGAAGGCAGCUAACUAAGCGAUUAUUGACGCUGAGGCACGAAAGCGUGGGGAUCAAACAGG
RNAcentral lists this ribosomal RNA (253 nucleotides) under uncultured bacterium. RNAcentral's name for it is "partial 16S ribosomal RNA". It matches the Rfam family "Bacterial small subunit ribosomal RNA", at positions 524 to 776 of the family's 1533-position model. The record is from RNAcentral.